This 4867-nucleotide long non-coding RNA is filed under the name Brassica napus (rape). RNAcentral's name for it is "long non-coding RNA (BNAP_LNC001311)". Lineage: Eukaryota; Viridiplantae; Streptophyta; Magnoliopsida; Brassicales; Brassicaceae. The record is from RNAcentral.
AGCAACGAGGAGUGUUCAUCUGAAAUCAGUUCUGAGAAUGUAUCCAAAAAGGGAUGUGGCUCAGCGGGAGUAUCAGACCUAUUACAUGUCGAGACAGAAGAGAGUUGUGGAACCCACUCCGACGAGCCUAAGGAAGAUAAUGAGUUGUCUCAAUCUGAAGAGUCUAGUGAUGAGGAAUCUUCCAUGGAAGUGCUUUUGGACCAGCAUGAUCCUGAUGAUGAUUCCAACAACUCAUGCACUGAGAAAGAAGCAGAUUCUUGUUUUGCCACUGAAAGAGCUACAACUGGUGUUGCCUUUUCUCCUUAUUUGAUAGGCUCGUCACCAAAAAAGCCGGGUACCAUUCUUUUUAACUGAGUUUUAUGCCUUCUUCAAUUAAUGUUAACCUCAUGGAGCUGAGUACUUACUUGGUCUAUGUGUGUGAUGAUUUUGCAGAAGGAAAUUUUCAAAUUCAACUCGAACGAGUGGAAGCUAAAAAGAACUAUGAAGAAGAAGAACCUUACAAGCAACCAUUACUAAUAAGCCUCAUGAAGAAACCUCCACCACGUGAUAGAGAGUUGGGCGAAGCUAUGUCUACAUCUGGUUCUGCACAAAAAAAACUAAAAACAUCAUGAAAUUGUCUAGCAGUCUGGACAUAAAGAUGUAUCUUAUCAGCUUUCUUGAUCGCUUAAUUAGCUAAGAAGCAUCUUCUAGGUGUGAUAAGGGAAAUAUUGGUGGUGACUUUGAUUAGAUUAAAUCAAACUUUAAUACUUUGUGCAUAGUAGCUGAUUUUGGAACUUCCGGUUGAUUUGACUUGUUUUACUGAUUAAUAAAAACUUUAGAAUCAUUCUGUCAAUGACUUUGUUUUUGUUCUAACUCCGAACUUCAAACGCCUAAUGGCGACAAAUUAAUAAGAUCACUACUAUAGACCAGACCACAGGACAGUAGACAACAAUUUGUUAGUGAGAUGAAAGCCGGUCGGUUUGGUUCCGGUCACUUUCAAACCACUUGAUUAACCAAUAAUUCAAUUGAAAUGAAAUUUACCAAGUUAAAUACACUAAGUAAAGUGUUAAAGCCUGAAGAUUAUUUGGACUAUGAUUAUUUUUUUUUCAAAUUUGAGUAGCAAUAUACUAGUCUCCUUCCGAGUCUACACUUUGUUUCGUUUGUAUUUUGGUUAACAACUGAAAAAGAACUCUACCUAUGCACCCAUAAUAUCCCAAGUUCAAAUCUCUUUCGUACAUAUUUAAUUUUAGUUUCACAAAAAAACAACUGACAAAAAAAAAAUACAAUUUUCUCUAGAAACCAAAUAAAGAAAAGGGAUGGAGGAAAAAAAAAACGGAAUAUAUGAACUUUAAUACUGAAUCAAAAGGAAGCCCUAAGAACAGAGAAAACAGCCGCCAGCCUUUCGUUGCUUUCUCCGGUGGUGUUUGGCAUGGUGCUGACAAAAAAAAAAAAAUCCAUUAUUUGGUUGGUAGGAUUACUCACAAAAAUCACCUUGUGGUGGAGGCGUAAAAAUAGUGACCUACUCGCUUUCAAACGCGAUACAAUCACCAAAGUAUUGAAACAUUAAUUAUCCUCGAUAGAAACAUAUAGUUGAAAGUUGUGAAUUUCACUUUGUGUAAUAGCAUGUUUCUUCUAGCUCAACUAUGAACAACAUCAACAAUAUAGAAGAAACUGCGAAUUACAAUGAGGAAGAUUAUCUAAUCAAAACUGAUACUCUUUUGGAUGAAGACACUUUCAUGUCUCUUGCAUUUGAAUGGUGAUCCACUGCAUUGGUGAAAAUCGUACAUAGAAAAAUUCAUAUGGCACAAUUGUCAUAUCAGAAUGCAAUUAACAUUGAUGUUAUGAUAAUAUGCUGUGCAUUGUUUCCGGUAACUCAUAAAUACUAAAUUGAGCUAAAAAGAAAUUGAAUUCUAUAUUAUUAUUAUCUAAAAAUAUCAUUCAAAAUUAAUAAGAAACCUAAUAUAUAAUAAAUAUACUAAUAAAUAUUUUGUAACAUAAUUAUAUCCGCAUAUGCGAGUAAAACACCUAGUUAUGAACAAUUCUAUAUUUUUAAAAUAAAAAAUGUUUUAAAAAAUAAAAGUGAUACAAAAAUAGUAGAAGGUAAAAAAAAACUAAAAAAUUGUUUCUUUUAACAUCUAUCAUGUAGCAAGCACGAAUACAACAUUUGCAGAUAGUAUCCUUUUUUUUUGUCAUCUUGCAGAUAGUAUAUAGUACUGAAAAUUAAUGGCUUGAAAAAAAAUUAGUGAUGAUUCUGAUUUUGUAGUUGUGGGAGGAUACAAAUCAAAUUAUCAAUCAAGGAUACUAAUUACUUGUUACUUAUAUUACCAAUUGGUUUUAAAAUUUAUGGUUGGCUGUGCUACAUCUAAAUUGCUUUAUCCUUGUAUAAAAUCUGUAACUUUAAAUUAUUAAAAAAUAUUUUAAUAUAAAAAUUUUGUAUGUAUUAGUAGUAUAUAUUACCAAUAAAUUAUUAAAACUAUUGUUGGCUUGAAUAGAAUUAGAGUAAAAAAAUCUAAACGUGUGGCCACCACCGACCUCAAACAAACGUACCGUAUAUAAGAAGCAUAUCAAUCAGAUGUUCGACGUCUAUAUUCUACUUUAGAGAUAAAAGAUGGCGUCUCGAUUUCCCUUCUCCACUCAAACCCUCUCCUAAAACUUACUCUCAUCUUCGCUUACGAUCUUUCUCCAAAUCAGUGUUCUCGACUUCUAGACGAAACCCUAAUUUUCAAUCUUAGGGUUUUGUCUUAAUACGAUGCUGGUGGCUAAUUCCGAGUUCUCUUCAUCUAUUUUACCUCCUUCGCCGUUAAUACCAAACCCCGUCGAAACCAUAGACGAGUCGAUUGGUAAUAAUCAGGUCUCGUUCUCGACGGAGGAGGUCUCAGUUCCGCCUCGAAACUCGGAUGAGCCUCUCUCUACUCCGUUGGACGAAACCCUAAUCGCGCCUUCUCCGUUACGUCUUGAGCACGGCGAGUGCAGUGAUGCUCAAGUCAUGAACAAGCCUAUAAAUCACUCUAAGAGCAACGAUACACACUUGGACAUUUGUUUGUCUAAAUCUCCAGAUAAUCGCCAACAAUGGUCUCCCAAUGUUUCACCUGGAUCCGAUACUGAUGUUGACUCAGGGAACCAACCCUUGUGGAGAUUCAGACAAAAACCUCCAGAGAUCGUGGAAUCCCCUUGUGUUGUAUGUUUUCUGAACUUGUGAUUCUCUUUUGUUUCAGUUUUAGGGUUUUGUCUGAUUACAAUUUGACAUCAAUUCGUAUAUAUAGGGUGCUGGACUUUUGAACCUAGGCAACAGCUGUUUCAUUAACUCAGUCUUGCAAUGUUUCACUCACACCGUGCCUCUUAUCGAGAGCCUCUACGCAUACCAAUAUGAAGAGCCUUGUAACUGUAAGACUGACUCUCUCACAAUGAGGCUUUUUAUUUUUCUUAUUUUGACAUAACCUUGUACUUGAUCUGAUAUUAGGCAACCAGAGGUUCUGUGUGAUAAGGGCUCUUCGAUAUCACAUUGGUGUUGCACUCGAGACCACUUCAGUAUUUUCAAUAUCUCCGGUCUAUUUCUUUAACAAUCUCCGUUGUAUGUAUCCUCCACAAAUAAAAAAAACUCCCGUCAUAAUAUUUUUACUAUAUUUUUUGUAUAUAUUUCUCUGAAUUUAAUCAUUAAACUACCACAUGCAGGUUUUUCACCUGACUUCCGGCGUUACCAACAAGAAGACGCACAUGAGUUUCUACAUGCGUUUCUGAAUAAGUUGGAGAUAUGUUGUUUGAAUCGAAGAAAUGAUGUUAACUUUGUUCAACAUAUCUUUGGUGGUCGUCUCGUCAGUGAGGUAAGAAGUUAACUCUAAUUAACCAUAUAUUUUUGUCAAGCAGUUUUCCUAUGCGUUUUAAAUUUUGAUUCGGGAUACAUGUAUCAGCUUCGUUGCUGCAACUGCAACUACGUUUCCGAGACAUUUGAAGAUUCUCUUGGGUUGAGUUUGGAAAUUGAAGAUGUUGAUAACCUUCAAAGUGCACUAGAUUCCUUUACUCGUGUAGAAAAACUUGAAGAGCAAAUGAAGUGUGAUAACUGUGAUGAAAAAGUUUCAAAGGAGAAGCGACUCUUGCUACAAAAUUUGCCACAGGUUAUCACAUUUCACUUGAAGAGAUUCAAGAAUAAUGGAUAUUUCAUGCUGAAGAACUGUAACUAUGUCGAGUUUCCGUUGGAGUUAGACUUGCAACCAUAUAUGAGCAAUGACCAAGUAUGUCAAACUGUCUCUCAUCACCCUUCGAAUUAUUUGUGUUUAUCUAAGAUAACACAUUUCUUUAUUUCUUAAUUUAGGUUGCUGCAAAAUAUUAUCUUUAUGCUCUUGUGAAGCAUUAUGGAUCAUUAGCUUAUGGUCAUUACUCUUCCUUUGUGAGGUCAGCCCCAAGUAUAUGGCAUAAGUUUAAUGACAAACAGGUGAUACAUCUAGUAGUAACGUUGAUUGAUUGAUUGAUGUAACAGUUUAAAUAAAUUAACAUGUCUCUUGCUGUGACUUUGAAAAACCUUGGUAGGUCACUAGAGUCGAUGAAGAUUGUGUGUUAUCACAAAAUUCAUAUAUUCUUUUCUAUGCAAGAGAAGGGACUCCAUGGUUUUCAACAGCCAUUGAAGAGUUACAUCCAAUGACCGAAGAAGAUACUAGCUCGGAAUAUCCUUCGCCAAAGUCCGUCUCUGAUCCUAGCAACGAGGAGUGUUCAUCUGAAAUCAGUUCUGAGAAUGUAUCCAAAAAGGGAUGUGGCUCAGCGGGAGUAUCAGACCUAUUACAUGUCGAGACAGAAGAGAGUUGUGGAACCCACUCCGACGAGCCUAAGGAAGAUAAUGAGUUGUCUCAAUCUGAAGAGUCUAGUGAUGAGGAAUCUUCCAUGGAAGUGCUUUUGG